CCUCCUCUAUCACCACAUGCAUCAUGCAUUAUUAGUAUUCUAGUGGUUACUUUGGAGAUCGUAGCGUGUACCCUAACUCACUGCAGCCCAACACAAA
Long non-coding RNA from Sapajus apella (tufted capuchin), 97 nucleotides. RefSeq lists it as uncharacterized. The record is from RefSeq and is a predicted model, not a curated record. The transcript has 5 exons. Lineage: Eukaryota; Metazoa; Chordata; Mammalia; Primates; Cebidae.